This 216-nucleotide ribosomal RNA is filed under the name Glomeromycotina sp. Its description in RNAcentral is "partial small subunit ribosomal RNA". The stretch from base 75 to 216 matches the Rfam family "Eukaryotic small subunit ribosomal RNA", at positions 721 to 864 of the family's 1831-position model. Lineage: Eukaryota; Fungi; Glomeromycota. The record is from RNAcentral.
GGGUCAGUAGGUCGGUCGUGCCACCGGUACGUACUGGUCUCACUGAUUCCUCCUCCCUGAAGAACCGUAAUGCCAUUAAUUUGGUGUUGCGGGGAAACAGGACUGUUACUUUGAAAAAAUUAGAGUGUUUAAAGCAAGCUAACGCUUGAAUACAUUAGCAUGGAAUAAUGAAAUAGGACGAUCGAUCCUAUUUUGUUGGUUUCUAGGAUUGACGUA